Molecule: ribosomal RNA, 426 nt
Filed under: uncultured bacterium
Lineage: Bacteria
Description: bacterial SSU rRNA
Rfam family: Bacterial small subunit ribosomal RNA
Source: RNAcentral
GGGGAAUUGUUCGCAAUGGGCGCAAGCCUGACGACGCAACGCCGCGUGGAGGACGAAGAUCUUCGGGUCGUAAACUCCUGUCGAGCGGGAAGAACGCUUCCCGGGUGAAUAAUCCGGGGAAUUGACGGUACCGCUAAAGGAAGCCCCGGCUAACUCCGUGCCAGCAGCCGCGGUAAAACGUAGGUGGCAAGCGUUAUCCGGAUUUACUGGGCGUAAAGCGUGUGCAGACGGGGCUUCAAGUGGUGUAUGAAAUCGCUCGGCUCAACCGGGCGCGGGUAUGCCAGACUGGAGUGCUAGAGGGCGCGAGAGGGACGUGGAAUUCCGGGUGUAGUGGUGAAAUGCGUAGAGAUCCGGAGGAACCCCUGAGGCGAAGGCGGCGUCCUGGCGCACACCUGACGUUCAGACACGACAGCAUGGGGAGCGAAC